AGAGUUUGAUCAUGGCUCAGGACGAACGCUGGCGGCGUGCUUAACACAUGCAAGUCGAGCGGAAAGGCCACUUCGGUGGUACUCGAGCGGCGAACGGGUGAGUAACACGUGAGUAAUCUGCCCUUGGCUUUGGGAUAGCCACCGGAAACGGUGAUUAAUACCGAAUAUGACCACUUCACGCAUGUGAUGGUGGUGGAAAGUUUUUCGGCCAGGGAUGUGCUCGCGGCCUAUCAGCUUGAUGGUGAGGUAAUGGCUCACCAUGGCUUCGACGGGUAGCCGGCCUGAGAGGGUGACCGGUCACACUGGGACUGAGACACGGCCCAGACUCCUACGGGAGGCAGCAGUGGGGAAUAUUGGACAAUGGGCGGAAGCCUGAUCCAGCAACGCCGCGUGAGGGAUGACGGCCUUCGGGUUGUAAACCUCUUUCGGUGGGGACGAAGCGCAAGUGACGGUACCCACUAAAGAAGCACCGGCCAACUACGUGCCAGCAGCCGCGGUAAUACGUAGGGUGCGAGCGUUGUCCGGAAUUAUUGGGCGUAAAGGGCUCGUAGGCGGUUUGUCGCGUCGGGAGUGAAAACGCCGUGCUUAACACGGCGCUUGCUUUCGAUACGGGCAGACUAGAGGUAUUCAGGGGAGAACGGAAUUCCUGGUGUAGCGGUGAAAUGCGCAGAUAUCAGGAGGAACACCGGUGGCGAAGGCGGUUCUCUGGGAAUGACCUGACGCUGAGGAGCGAAAGUGUGGGGAGCGAACAGGAUUAGAUACCCUGGUAGUCCACACCGUAAACGUUGGGCGCUAGGUGUGGGGGUCCAUUCCACGGAUUCCGUGCCGCAGCUAACGCAUUAAGCGCCCCGCCUGGGGAGUACGGCCGCAAGGCUAAAACUCAAAUGAAUUGACGG
This 896-nucleotide ribosomal RNA is filed under the name uncultured bacterium. RNAcentral describes it as "bacterial SSU rRNA". It matches the Rfam family "Bacterial small subunit ribosomal RNA", at positions 8 to 916 of the family's 1533-position model. The record is from RNAcentral.